AUGUAGUUUAUAAACCCGUAUUUGUUACCUAGAAAUUGUAGAUACGCGGUUUGAUACUUUGGUUGGGAAUGCUAGUGUCUGUUGGACCCGUCAGAUGGGUACCUAGGCACCUAUUAGCUCCUAUAAACUAGUACUUGGAAACGCGUUAUUCCCCUAGAGAUAUUUCGCCCACACUACAACACUAGACUUUCGUAUUUUGUUGUAACGUGGUCUCAGCGCCUUGAGCAGCGGGCGCGCGGUCUUGCAACGUCGCACUCUCGACCGACGACCUCGCGUUAUCGCCCGCCAGCGCGCGCGAUACGCAAAAGGGUCACCAGUCGCCGCGGCGCUCGCCGACGCCUAAUGUCUUCAGUCAGCAUCAUCAAUAUAAACAAUAGCAGUUUCCACAUUGAACACCAUAAGCACACCGUGGAAAUAACUAUUGCUGCGACGUGGCGACGCCGCGCUCCGUCUCGUUCUCGCGUGUCCGCCGUCUCCUAGCUCCGCCCCUCUCCGACCGCAGCGCCGCCGAGCGGCCGCGACGGGAAUGUACACGUCGCUCGAAAUCUACACGUUGCCACUCCGUACCAAUAAUUUCGCUGGACGUAAAUUUUAACCUAAACAGUUCAAUGUACUUUUCGGAAAAUCAAAACGCGUCUGUUUCCACAAAACGUCUUAUGUUGUACCGGUUAUUGUAAAAUAGUGUUGUAAAACGUUAUAUUUUCGUAUUACUGUGAUAUCUAGUGAUAGUUGCGUGUCGUGCGUGUGAGAAAUUGUGAACACAGUCCUGUUGGAGGAUUUUAACACUGUUUCUAGCUAAAAAGUUGGUGCAGUGUGGGCUUGGCCGUGUGCAGUGUCCGUGCUAGUGUAUGUGUGUGUGUGAGUGCCCGAUGGCGCGGAGCUAGCGGCGUGUCCCGGCAUGCGCGCCGCCUAGCCAUGCCCGCUGUGCACCAUCCCACAUGGCGCAAUACACACAAAGGACUCAGCCGAUGCACAGGUAUAAGAGUUAACGUUAAAGGAAUAUUGGGUAAGGCUAAGUUAGAAUAAGUUAUUUGUACCGUUAAGAACUAUAAAAUAUGUAACUAAAUACUUAAAUAAGUUCAAUUAGUCAGCGUACAUAAAUUUAAAUUAUUUCCCUAAAAACUUUAGAAUCCUAAUGCGUGAAGUUUUUUCGUGCGUACAGGACGAGUAUACUGCCAAGUAAUUUGGUUAGAGAAUUUUGGCGCGCAUUCCACGUGUCUUGUUUGUAGACGUUCCAGUCGCUGCGUUCGGGUGAAUAGAAGACUUUCUUGAGCCAACUCUCAUGUGAAAUCUUUUGCAAAUUCGCCCUUAUUUAGCUUCGUAAAUGACACAGUGCGUUGUUGUAGAUAUUGUGCUAGUUUUAGUAUUAAUAAUUAAAAUCACCAUACUAAUAAUACUACCAUUUGUGUGUGCCAACGGAUGUCAAAUAUUUUAUGUCGCUACAAACGCCUCUGAUGUCUCCCAUAGCACGAAACAAGUGACACACUUUUAAAUGUUCCAGACAUAAUGUAAAAACAUAACGUUCUGUGUUGGAAUCACAUAUAAACACUCUAUUAAUGAGCUAACACCACUUUUAUACCUUUAAUAUACUUACUUAUAGCAUUUUGUCAUUAGUUUUAUCAAUAAUCUAAAUCCAGGUUAACUAUAUUAUAAUUUUAAGCUGAUGAAAGUGACCACGCAAUACGCCAUAAUAUUUUAAGCUCACUUUGA
Molecule: long non-coding RNA, 1710 nt
Organism: Galleria mellonella (greater wax moth)
Lineage: Eukaryota; Metazoa; Arthropoda; Insecta; Lepidoptera; Pyralidae
Exons: 3
Source: RefSeq, a predicted model, not a curated record